This 910-nucleotide long non-coding RNA is filed under the name Olea europaea subsp. europaea. The record is from RNAcentral. Lineage: Eukaryota; Viridiplantae; Streptophyta; Magnoliopsida; Lamiales; Oleaceae.
CGUUGGAAGGUUCCAUCAAGCCAUCACACCAGCCAAUUCAACCCACAGUCCAUUUCUAUGCUCAUCUACAUUAGGCCCAUAGACUUCUAUGAACAUCCACCGGAAGCUAUCCUUGAUAUUUCUAAAUGAGAUCGAUAGAGAAAACAGACUUUCGCUAACCUCCUCCAUAUCAAAGACUCUGGUGUCCCACAUUAUCAGUAUACUUCCCAAGGCCCCCGAUGACCCUACAAACUGAUACCCACAUGCUGUCCCCCCCAUAGGCUACUCACAAUGUCCCUCGACACAUCCUUCACCUUUGUUUCUUGUAAACAUACAAGGUCAGCCCUCCAUUUCCUCAAUGGAUUUCGAACUCCUAACCUUUUCCCUGGUUCAUUAAGCUUGCGUACGUUCCAACUAAUUAUUUUCGAAAUCAUCUUAAAACUCCAUCAUCCCUCCCCAUCACGCCUCUACUCCACUCGCUGCCCUUAAUAUAAUAGUUAAUUGAGCAUUCAAGCCGCUUAAGCUCACGAAUGCUCUUACUUCUCAUCUUACCUCCUGGAGUAGUAUAAAUAGGAUCGUAGUAGUGUCCCUCCUCUUCCUCCACCUGUUCAGCAACAUUAUCUGUGUUUUCCUUCUCAGCGCCACCCAUCCACACCACCAACGCAUUAUCAUUCUCUAGACCCCAUUAAUUCAAAGACUUAGCGCAUCGCCUGCUGUAGGUGUUCACUGCCUUGUGGCCGAGCCUGUUUACCCAUGUUGAUCUUCAAGUGCCGGCCCUGAGUGUUCACCCAGUUCAAGUCCAACCUCUUGCACAUCAUCUGACAACGAUCCUUUUACAAGUGGAAUCGUGUCUAAUGACCCCACAAUCGUAGAACAAAUAACUCUGUUCGCUUCCAAAACUUCCGUGGCAAUAUUCAUAAUGCCUUGCUCU